UACGGAGGAUGCAAGCGUUAUCCGGAAUUAUUGGGCGUAAAGCGUCCGUAGGUGGCUGAAUAAGUCUGCUGUCAAAGCGUGCGGCUUAACCGCAUCCAGGCAGUGGAAACUAUUGAGCUAGAGUGCGAUAGGGGUCACAGGAAUUCCCAGUGUAGCGGUGAAAUGCGUAGAUAUUGGGAAGAACACCAGCGGCGAAAGCGUGUGACUGGGUCUGCACUGACACUGAGGGACGAAAGCUAGGGGAGCGAAAGGG
RNAcentral lists this ribosomal RNA (253 nucleotides) under uncultured prokaryote. RNAcentral's name for it is "partial 16S ribosomal RNA". It matches the Rfam family "Bacterial small subunit ribosomal RNA", at positions 524 to 776 of the family's 1533-position model. The record is from RNAcentral.